This is a small nuclear RNA of Biomphalaria glabrata, 108 nucleotides long. The record is from RefSeq and is a predicted model, not a curated record. Lineage: Eukaryota; Metazoa; Mollusca; Gastropoda; Planorbidae.
GUUUACCGUUAAUGCAGUACUUAUACCAAAAUUGGAACGAUACAGAGAAGAUUAGCAUGGCCCCUGCGCAAGGAUGACACGUAAAUUCGUGAAGCGUUCCAUAUUUUU